This 468-nucleotide ribosomal RNA is filed under the name uncultured bacterium. RNAcentral's name for it is "partial 16S ribosomal RNA". It matches the Rfam family "Bacterial small subunit ribosomal RNA", at positions 28 to 507 of the family's 1533-position model. The record is from RNAcentral.
GACGAACGCUGGCGGCGUGCUUAACACAUGCAAGUCGAACGGAAAGGCCCUGCUUUUGUGGGGUGCUCGAGUGGCGAACGGGUGAGUAACACGUGAGUAACCUGCCCUUGACUUUGGGAUAACUUCAGGAAACUGGGGCUAAUACCGGAUAGGAGCUCCUGCUGCAUGGUGGGGGUUGGAAAGUUUCGGCGGUUGGGGAUGGACUCGCGGCUUAUCAGCUUGUUGGUGGGGUAGUGGCUUACCAAGGCUUUGACGGGUAGCCGGCCUGAGAGGGUGACCGGCCACAUUGGGACUGAGAUACGGCCCGGCCUCCUACGGGAGGCAGCAGUGGGGAAUAUUGCACAAUGGGCGGAGGCCUGAUGCAGCAACGCCGCGUGCGGGAUGACGGCCUUCGGGUUGUAAACCGCUUUCGCCUGGGACGAAGCGUGAGUGACGGUAAUGGGUAAAGAAGCACCGGCUAACUACGUG